Molecule: ribosomal RNA, 826 nt
Filed under: marine metagenome
Description: bacterial SSU rRNA
Rfam family: Bacterial small subunit ribosomal RNA
Source: RNAcentral
AGAGGAACACCAGUUGCGAAGGCGGAUCUCUGGACGGUUCCUGACGCUGAGGCACGAAAGCUGGGGUAGCGAAGAGGAUUAGAUACCCUCGUAGUCCCAGCCGUAAACGGUGCGCACUUGCUGUGGGCGGAUUCGACCCCGUCCGUGGCGAAGCUAACGCGUUAAGUGCGCCGCCUGGGGAGUACGGUCGCAAGAUUAAAACUCAAAGAAAUUGACGGGGGCCUGCACAAGCGGUGGAGUAUGUGGCUUAAUUCGAUGCAACGCGAAGAACCUUACCUGGCCUUGACAUGUAGUGGCCCGGGUGCGAAAUCACCCUUUUCUUCGGAACUGCUACACAGGUGCUGCAUGGCUGUCGUCAGCUCGUGUCGUGAGAUGUUGGGUUAAGUCCCGCAACGAGCGCAACCCCCGUGUUCUGUUGCCACCCGGAUGAGAAUCCGGAGCACUCUGGACAGACUGCCUGGUUUCAACCAGGAGGAAGGUGGGGAUGACGUCAAGUCAGUAUGGCCCUUACGGCCAGGGCUGCACACGUACUACAAUGCCUGAUAUAAUGGGAAGCGAGACCGCGAGGUGGAGCAAAUCCUCAAAAUCAGGCCCAGUUCAGAUUGUAGGCUGCAACUCGCCUACAUGAAGGAGGAAUCGCUAGUAAUGCCGUAUCAGCUACGACGGCGUGAAUACGUUCCCAGGCCUUGUACACACCGCCCGUCACAUCAUGAAAGUCGAUUGUACCCGAAGUCGCUGCGUUAACCGCAAGGAGACAGGUGCCGAAGGUAUGGUUGGUAAUUGGGAUGAAGUCGUAACAAGGUAGCCGUAGGGGAACCUGUGGCUG